UACGGGGGGGGCAAGCGUUGUUCGGAAUCACUGGGCGUAAAGGGAGCGUAGGCGGGCGUUUAAGUUAGGUGUUUAAUCCCGGGGCCCAACCCCGGACCGGCACCUAAAACUGGACGUCUUGAAUAGUGGAGAGGUCGGUGGAAUUGGAGGUGUAGCGGUGGAAUGCGUAGAGAUCUCCAAGAACACCCGUUGCGAAGGCGGCCGACUGGACACAUAUUGACGCUGAGGCUCGAAAGCACGGGGAGCAAACAGG
Molecule: ribosomal RNA, 253 nt
Filed under: uncultured bacterium
Lineage: Bacteria
Description: partial 16S ribosomal RNA
Rfam family: Bacterial small subunit ribosomal RNA
Source: RNAcentral